RNAcentral lists this ribosomal RNA (226 nucleotides) under uncultured bacterium. RNAcentral describes it as "partial 16S ribosomal RNA". It matches the Rfam family "Bacterial small subunit ribosomal RNA", at positions 118 to 341 of the family's 1533-position model. The record is from RNAcentral.
UGAGCAAUCUGCCCUUCACAUCGGAAUAACCAUUGGAAACGAUGGCUAAUACCGAAUAUGACUUCGGAUCGCAUGAUCUGAAGUGGAAAGCUCCGGCGGUGAAGGAUGAGCUCGCGGCCUAUCAGCUUGUUGGUGAGGUAAUAGCUCACCAAGGCGAUGGACGGGUAGCCGGCCGAGGAGGGUCGACCGGCCACACGUGGGACUGAGACACCGGCCCAGACCUCCG